GGCCGCUUAGCUCAGCUGGUUAGAGCAUCGUACUAAUAAUCAGUUCUGAUUAUCAGUCCAUGCGGAGGUCGGCAGUUCGAUCCUGUCAGUGGUCA
Trichosporon asahii var. asahii CBS 8904 is the source of this 95-nucleotide transfer RNA. It matches the Rfam family "tRNA". From Rfam's summary of the family: Transfer RNA (tRNA) molecules are approximately 80 nucleotides in length. Their secondary structure includes four short double-helical elements and three loops (D, anti-codon, and T loops). Further hydrogen bonds mediate the characteristic L-shaped molecular structure. tRNAs have two regions of fundamental functional importance: the anti-codon, which is responsible for specific mRNA codon recognition, and the 3' end, to which the tRNAs corresponding amino acid is attached (by aminoacyl-tRNA synthetases). tRNAs cope with the degeneracy of the genetic code in two manners: having more than one tRNA (with a specific anti-codon) for a particular amino acid; and 'wobble' base-pairing, i.e. permitting non-standard base-pairing at the 3rd anti-codon position. The record is from Rfam. NCBI's taxonomy places the organism in Eukaryota, Fungi, Basidiomycota, Tremellomycetes, Trichosporonales, Trichosporonaceae.